RNAcentral lists this ribosomal RNA (497 nucleotides) under uncultured bacterium. RNAcentral describes it as "partial 16S ribosomal RNA". It matches the Rfam family "Bacterial small subunit ribosomal RNA", at positions 28 to 507 of the family's 1533-position model. The record is from RNAcentral.
GAUGAACGCUGGCGGCGUGCCUAAUACAUGCGAGUCGAGCGAACAGAUGAGGAGCUUGCUCCUCUGACGUUAGCGGCGGACGGGUGAGUAACACGUGGAUAACCUACCUAUAAGACUGGGAUAACUUCGGGAAACCGGAGCUAAUACCGGAUAAUAUAUUGAACCGCAUGGUUCAAUAGUGAAAGACGGUUUUGCUGUCACUUAUAGAUGGAUCCGCGCCGCAUUAGCUAGUUAGUAAGGUAACGGCUUACCAAGGCAACGAUGCGUAGCCGACCUGAGAGGGUGACCGGCCACACUGGAACUGAGACACGGUCCAGACUCCUACGGGAGGCAGCAGUAGGGAAUCUUCCGCAAUGGGCGAAAGCCUGACGGAGCAACGCCGCGUGAGUGAUGAAGGUCUUCGGAUCGUAAAACUCUGUUAUUAGGGAAGAACAAAUGUGUAAGUAACUAUGCACGUCUUGACGGUACCUAAUCAGAAAGCCACGGCUAACUACGUG